This 310-nucleotide ribosomal RNA is filed under the name uncultured eukaryote. RNAcentral's name for it is "partial 18S ribosomal RNA". It matches the Rfam family "Eukaryotic small subunit ribosomal RNA", at positions 1470 to 1796 of the family's 1831-position model. The record is from RNAcentral.
CCCUUAGAUGUUCUGGGCGGCCCGCGCACUACAAUGGCGCUUUCAGCGAGUUCCUAUGUUGCAUUUUCCUGGGUAUUCUUGGAAGCGGCGUCUUGACUUGGGAUAGAUCCUUGUAAUUGUUGGUUUUGAACGAGGAAUUCCUUGUAAUCGCGGUUGAUCAGCUCGCGUUGAAUACGUCCCUGCCCUUUGUACACACCGCCCGUCGCUCCUACCGAUGAAUCGUCCGGUGAAGUUCACAGAGUGGCGGUUCGUGGAGUUGCUCGCGAAGUGAAAUGGACCUCACGAUUUAGAGGAAGGAGAAGUCGUAACA